GGGUUGUGAGGUUAAGCGACUAAGCGUACACGGUGGAUGCCCUGGCAGUCAGAGGCGAUGAAGGGCGUGCUAAUCUGCGAUAAGCGCCGGUAAGGUGAUAUGAACCGUUAUAACCGGCGAUACCCGAAUGGGGAAACCCAGUGUGACUCGUCACACUAUCAUUAACUGAAUCCAUAGGUUAAUGAGGCGAACCGGGGGAACUGAAACAUCUAAGUACCCCGAGGAAAAGAAAUCAACCGAGAUUCCCCCAGUAGCGGCGAGCGAACGGGGAGGAGCCCAGAGCCUGAAUCAGCAUGUGUGUUAGUGGAAGCGUCUGGAAAGGCGCGCGAUACAGGGUGACAGCCCCGUACACAAAAGCGCAUGUGCUGUGAGCUCGAUGAGUAGGGCGGGACACGUGGUAUCCUGUCUGAAUAUGGGGGGACCAUCCUCCAAGGCUAAAUACUCCUGACUGACCGAUAGUGAACCAGUACCGUGAGGGAAAGGCGAAAAGAACCCCGGCGAGGGGAGUGAAAAAGAACCUGAAACCGUGUACGUACAAGCAGUGGGAGCACCCUUUGGGGUGUGACUGCGUACCUUUUGUAUAAUGGGUCAGCGACUUAUAUUCUGUAGCAAGGUUAACCGAAUAGGGGAGCCGGAGGGAAACCGAGUCUUAAUUGGGCGUUAAGUUGCAGGGUAUAGACCCGAAACC
Molecule: ribosomal RNA, 688 nt
Filed under: Salmonella enterica subsp. enterica serovar Chester
Lineage: Bacteria; Pseudomonadati; Pseudomonadota; Gammaproteobacteria; Enterobacterales; Enterobacteriaceae
Also listed under: 2 other names
Description: partial 23S ribosomal RNA
Rfam family: Bacterial large subunit ribosomal RNA
Source: RNAcentral